GUUUUGCUCUUCGGAAACAUCAGCUCUGCCUUCAUGAAACAACCCAGAUGCCUGAGACUGUGGGGAUGCAGAAGCACCCCAGUGUUUAGAAGCUAUCAGCAGGACUGGAUUAUAUUAUGCAUUGAAGGGCUAUCAGUGUAUUCGUUGUCAUUUGUCUCCUGGUGCCAGUGGUUGAGUAAGAGGAGCAGGACGCCAGCUGCCUGCAUCUGUAUUCAUGCCAUCUGAAGCUCCCACCUAAUGCCGAUGGGUGGAAGACUCACAGUCUUGGUAACAUUCCUGGUAUUGCAUAUCUCAUCUUUGUUUCAGUGUAAUUAGUCUGAAAGAAGAGAAAGGAUGUAGCUCCUUCCACCUCAAGGUGAACGGCUGAAGAUUCCUUAGGCUCCCAGAGCAAAUGGGAUUUGCAGAUUUGGCCCAGUUAAUCCCGAAUGGGAGUGUUUGCAGCUCCAAGUAAUGGGUGCUAUGUCCCAAGAGCCAAAGGGCAGGCAGGCGUGGCGGUAGUUCUCUGCUGUGUGACCUCUGACGUAAGGCAGGGUUUCAGGACCCCUGGCAAGGCAGGGGGUCGAGGCUUCCAGAUCUCGCAGCUCUGUAGCCUGCCAAGUUACCGCUGCAGAUCCUGGCAGAGGUAAUCAACCAAAAGCGGGAGGAAAGUGCUAGGCUUUUGCUGAACAGAGGGUUGUCUGGCAGGGUGGGUGUUCAUUAGCCAGGCUGCUGAUGGAAAGUAGUGCUUUUUCAGUCCCUGAAGUGGCUGUGAGUAUUGCAUUUGCUUUUCCCUCUCAGGUGGCUCUUAGCGGUGUAGGCAAGCACAAGCUGCCAGGAAACCUCAGUGGCAUCACCAAGGCGUGUGAGGCAUGAGCAGGGUGGACCUCCUAGUCUGCUGGGCCCAAGCAGGGACUGCACAUCAGUCACUGUGGGAGGUGGGUCUAAGGUCUGAGCUUUUGGAAAGCACGCAUGAAUUUCUUUCCUCUUUGAGACCAUGCGUGAAAUGGGAGAAACCUUCUUAUCUCCUUUGCUUGUGGAGGUGCUGCAAGGGCUAGAUUUGUUGCCUGCAGAAGCACACAGCAUAGAGAAGCACUGGAGAGAGUGCCUAUAUACUUUGUCACAUCCCUAAGACUUGCUCUUAGUUCUGUGUUUUGGUGUGUGGACGGUUACUCUGAAAGUGUUUGCUCAGAGCUCCUACGGGUGUUAAGUGCCUAUGGCCCCAGGCACCUCCUGGGGAUCUUUGGUAACUAAACUCCUUCACUGCAGCUGUUUGAAAUGAGGCUGGGCAAUAGCUUGGCCAGUAUUUCCUGGCAAUCACUUCUGUGCCAUUGAGAAGAUCAGCAGGGCUGAGCGCACAACCAGGCUGGUCCUGUCCUGACCCCACCAUGUGGCUAGGGGCUGCCCUCCAGCACGAGUCCCCUCACUAGCAGCAUCAUCUGCCUCCACUUGCUGCCCCCUUAUUUUCCUCUCAUAUUAAAAACCUUGUUUUCCUUUUACCCCUAGGGCAGAGGAAGGAAAGACAGGCUCAUACAGGAGCUGUUUCCAGGCUUUUGAGGAAAGAAAAGACAAAAAUGUUAUGUGAUGGGGCAGGGAGCAUUCGCUGUAGUCAGGCUGAGGGCUUUACCUGCACGGCUCCGACUCCAGCCCUGAGCUCGGAGGAGCAGGGCUGUGGGCCUGCCGCUGUAGGCAUGUAACUGUCACAAAGGAGAUAGACAUGAAACUACUCAGCAACUUUUGCCUCACCCAGAGCCAGAAGGGUUUUUUUGAAAACAAAAAUAAAGGGAAAAUUCAGUCUCCACCCAUCCACCCAAUUUGGACGGUAAAUCAAAUAAAACAAUCUCAGAGCUGGCACCACCAGAACAUUGAAAUGCCAGCUCCCAGCCUCUCACAUGAGGUGUCGAAAUGAAAUGAGAUGAACAAACAACCUCCAGAGGCCUGGGGCAAUAAACUGGUUUUCAGAUG
Molecule: long non-coding RNA, 1941 nt
Organism: Struthio camelus australis
Lineage: Eukaryota; Metazoa; Chordata; Aves; Struthioniformes; Struthionidae
Source: RefSeq, a predicted model, not a curated record